This 250-nucleotide ribosomal RNA is filed under the name uncultured prokaryote. Its description in RNAcentral is "partial 16S ribosomal RNA". It matches the Rfam family "Bacterial small subunit ribosomal RNA", at positions 524 to 774 of the family's 1533-position model. The record is from RNAcentral.
UACGUAGGUGGCGAGCGUUAUCCGGAUUUAUUGGGCGUAAAGCGUGCGUAGGCGGUUUAUUAAGUCUGAGAUUAAAGCCUGUGGCUUAACCACAGUUCGUUUCAGAUACUGGUAGACUUGAGUGCGGUAGAGGCAAAUGGAAUUCCUAGUGUAGCGGUGAAAUGCGUAGAUAUUAGGAGGAACAUCAGUGGCGAAGGCGAUUUGCUGGGCCGUAACUGACGCUGAGGCACGAAAGCGUGGGGAGCAAAUA